UAACUACAUGAUAAGACAUAAAGACAAAAGAGCUCUAAGGAGGCCCUGCUCCCUCCGACCUAGGGUUAUCACCUCCAUCCCUCAACCAGGACUGCCUCAAAUUCUCCAUUGCUUCUUCUAGUUCUUCCCUCUUCCGCAGCGUAUCCUGGAGCGCCUGACGAAGUUGCCGGCUCUCAGCCUCCGCUUCUCGACACCGCUUCCGCAAAACUUCGGACUCCGCCUCUGCGUC
This 229-nucleotide long non-coding RNA is filed under the name Elaeis guineensis (African oil palm). Its description in RNAcentral is "long non-coding RNA (EGUI_LNC069506)". The record is from RNAcentral. Lineage: Eukaryota; Viridiplantae; Streptophyta; Magnoliopsida; Arecales; Arecaceae.